Molecule: ribosomal RNA, 592 nt
Filed under: uncultured bacterium
Lineage: Bacteria
Description: bacterial SSU rRNA
Rfam family: Bacterial small subunit ribosomal RNA
Source: RNAcentral
GCCCUUAGAGUUUGAUCCUGGCUCAGAUUGAACGCUGGCGGCAUGCCUUACACAUGCAAGUCGAACGGUAACAGGUCUUCGGAUGCUGACGAGUGGCGAACGGGUGAGUAAUACAUCGGAACGUGCCCGAUCGUGGGGGAUAACGAGGCGAAAGCUUUGCUAAUACCGCAUACGAUCUACGGAUGAAAGCGGGGGAUCUUCGGACCUCGCGCGGACGGAGCGGCCGAUGGCAGAUUAGGUAGUUGGUGGGAUAAAUGCUUACCAAGCCGACGAUCUGUAGCUGGUCUGAGAGGAUGAUCAGCCACACUGGGACUGAGACACGGCCCAGACUCCUACGGGAGGCAGCAGUGGGGAAUUUUGGACAAUGGGCGAAAGCCUGAUCCAGCCAUGCCGCGUGCAGGAUGAAGGCCUUCGGGUUGUAAACUGCUUUUGUACGGAACGAAAAGCCUCUUUCUAAUAAAGAGGGGUCAUGACGGUACCGUAAGAAUAAGCACCGGCUAACUACGUGCCAGCAGCCGCGGUAAUACGUAGGGUGCAAGCGUUAAUCGGAAUUACUGGGCGUAAAGCGUGCGCAGGCGGUUUUGUAAGACAG